Lagopus leucura (white-tailed ptarmigan) is the source of this 1107-nucleotide long non-coding RNA. RefSeq lists it as uncharacterized. The record is from RefSeq and is a predicted model, not a curated record. NCBI's taxonomy places the organism in Eukaryota, Metazoa, Chordata, Aves, Galliformes, Phasianidae. The transcript has 3 exons.
CCCUCAACGCUCCAGCUCCAGGCAGCUGCAAUAGAUGGUGAAGAACUACAGAGAGAGAGAGUGACCUGUUAUCAUUCUAGGUCCAAAAAAUCAGCCACCACUUUGUUUACAAGAAAACAGGACAUGGCAAGUGGGAGAGUGAAAGUAGCUGAAGAGGGGAGGAAAAGAGGUGGUGACAGACAGAUUGCUUCCAGCCCCACAAACAUUGAGAAUUACGCUCCCAUCUGCACUGCCUCAGCAGGAAUUGGACAGCCCGUUCAUCAUGUGGAAAGACUGCACACGGGGCUGCCCAGAAAUGGAUUGCGACAAAGCAAACCUGCUUUCUAUCCGCGUAUGGGGACCAGAAAUGUAGCCACAAAAUGGCCAUGUGGAAGAAAGGUCCCAAUGUGUUCAAUUUUCAGGUUUGGGGCUGGCCUGGAGAGAUCACAGAUAUGCUUUCCAUAGACUCUCCAAAGGACCUAAGCACAUGAAAAACCUUGCCACUGCACACAGCUCUUCCAUGACUCAGUUUCCCAAGAGUGAAAUGAAGAUAAUGACAUCACUGCCUCAGCUGAGGGCUACAAGGCUCUGAUAUUUGUUAUACAGAAGAUGGAAACUUGCAAACACAGAUCGCAGAGCCUGCAGGAGAAAGGAAUGAAUCUGUCCCACAGCAUUUUCUCAGAAGCCCAGCUCAUUCCUGCCUACAGUGCCAGUGACUGUUUCAACUGAACAUUUGACAGACUGGACGGCAUGCAUCCUUACAAUAUCACUAACAUAGUAAUUUUGCCUUCUGCAGCUCACAAAUGCAGAAUCCAGUCACAAAAAUGCUGUGCGCCACCUUCCCAAGGUCGCAAAAGCAGUGCAUGGCACUGCAGAGAUCUCCAGGCCUCCUGCAUUAAAUGCACAGCUGCCUCUCUCCACUUUCUUGCAACUGAAAUCUAGUAUUAGUUCCUGGAGUCACCCAUCCAGUACCUUGAAAAAAUAUGAUGUGCUCCAAAGCUGUUACAAAGCAAGAUAGCACGAGUAAAGCAAUUCCCAAUAAAAAGGAAAGUUCAAAUUUCUUCAUCUUUGACUUGUGCAAAAGACAAGAAAUACUUAAUUUUUCCUGCCCAAACACUACGUGAAAAC